RNAcentral lists this ribosomal RNA (478 nucleotides) under uncultured bacterium. RNAcentral describes it as "bacterial SSU rRNA". It matches the Rfam family "Bacterial small subunit ribosomal RNA", at positions 29 to 507 of the family's 1533-position model. The record is from RNAcentral.
AACUAACGCUGGCGGCGUGCCUAACACAUGCAAGUCGUACGAGAAAGUUGGCUUCGGCUGAUGAGUAAAGUGGCGCACGGGUGAGUAACGCGUGGAUAAUCUGCCUUUUAGUUGGGAAUAACGUACCGAAAGGUGCGCUAAUACCGGAUAAUACUGCAUAACUACUGUUGUGUAGUCAAAGAAGGCCUCUGUUUACAAGCUUUUGCUGAAAGAUGAGUCCGCGUACCAUUAGCUAGUUGGUAGGGUAAUGGCCUACCAAGGCUACGAUGGUUAGCUGGUCUGAGAGGAUGAUCAGCCACACUGGAACUGAGACACGGUCCAGACUCCUACGGGAGGCAGCAGUGAGGAAUAUUGCGCAAUGGGGGCAACCCUGACGCAGCAACGCCGCGUGAGUGAGGAAGGUUUUCGGACCGUAAAGCACUUUUUAAGGGAAUGAGAAAGGACAGUACCCUUAGAAUAAGUCUCGGCUAACUACGUG